AGGGAACUCUACUGGGCAGGUACAU
Molecule: non-coding RNA, 25 nt
Filed under: Cricetulus griseus (Chinese hamster)
Lineage: Eukaryota; Metazoa; Chordata; Mammalia; Rodentia; Cricetidae
Source: RNAcentral